GUUUAUUUACAUUUUAGACUACCUGAGAAUUACAUAGAAACGUAGUUUGACUUGUUUGGAUGAAGUUUAGGAGUAGCUUUUUGGAAUCCUUUGUCUGCAUGUUGAAUGAGUGGAUUACUGAAAUCGAUGGCACCAACUUAACAGACUUUUUGUAAUAUAAAGAAUGAUUUUAUCUAACAAAACAACCAUUCAUGUUGUAGCUGGGACCCUUGGGAUUGCAAACAGAGGAAGAUUUUCAAAAGACCUGAGCCCUAAGACCAUGCCUCAGGACUACCUGGCAUGAUGACUCCUUGCUGUCCCCAGUCCACCUGGCCGUGCUGCUGCUCCAGUUUCAACUGUUCUGCCUGCGGCUAUGGAACCCUGACGUUGUUCACCGGAUGUGCUACCUGUCCCAGACCUGCGGUUUUCAACUCUCUAGAGACAGCAGGAAUGGUAGAGAUACUCUUGAUGAUCGGCUAUGAAAAGCCAACUGACAUUUACUCCUGAGGUGCUGACUUGCUGCACCCUCGACAACUACUUUGAUGAUUAUUAUUUGACCAUGCUGGUCAUUUAUGAACAUUUGAACAUCUUGGCCAUGUUUUGUUAUAAUCUCCACCCGGCACAGCCAGAAGAGGACUGGCCACCCCUCAUAGCCUGG
Molecule: long non-coding RNA, 637 nt
Organism: Oncorhynchus tshawytscha (Chinook salmon)
Lineage: Eukaryota; Metazoa; Chordata; Actinopteri; Salmoniformes; Salmonidae
Source: Ensembl